Molecule: ribosomal RNA, 512 nt
Filed under: uncultured bacterium
Lineage: Bacteria
Description: partial 16S ribosomal RNA
Rfam family: Bacterial small subunit ribosomal RNA
Source: RNAcentral
GACGAACGCUGGCGGCGUGCCUAAUACAUGCAAGUCGAGCGGAACUGGGGGAGCUUGCUCCUUCCAGUUUAGCGGCGGACGGGUGAGUAACACGUGGGCAACCUGCCCUGCAGAUCGGGAUAACUCCGGGAAACCGGUGCUAAUACCGAAUAGUUUGGCGCCUCUCCUGAGGCGCUACGGAAAGACGGUUUCGGCUGUCACUGCAGGAUGGGCCCGCGGCGCAUUAGCUAGUUGGUGGGGUAACGGCCCAACAAGGCCACGAUGCGUAGCCGAACUGGGAGGGUGACCGGGCACACUGGGACUGAGACACGGCCCAGAUUCCUACGGGAGGCAGCAGUAGGGAAUCUUCCGCAAUGGACGCAAGUCUGACGGAGCAACGCCGCGUGAGUGACGAAGGUUUUCGGAUCGUAAAACUCUGUUGUGAGGGAAGAACACGUACCAACUAACUGUUGGUACCUUGACGGUACCUCGCCAGAAAGCCACGGCUAACUACGUGCCAGCCGCCGCCGUAA